Molecule: ribosomal RNA, 253 nt
Filed under: uncultured bacterium
Lineage: Bacteria
Description: partial 16S ribosomal RNA
Rfam family: Bacterial small subunit ribosomal RNA
Source: RNAcentral
UACAGGGGGGGCAAGCGUUGUUCGGAAUUACUGGGCGUAAAGGGUCUGUAGGUGGCUCGCUAAGUCAGACGUGAAAUCCCUCAGCUUAACUGGGGAACUGCGUCUGAUACUGAUGAGCUUGAGUGCAGGAGAGGAACGCGGAAUUCCAGGUGUAGCGGUGAAAUGCGUAGAUAUCUGGAGGAACACCGGUGGCGAAGGCGGCGUUCUGGACUGCAACUGACACUGAGAGACGAAAGCCAGGGGAGCAAACGGG